Molecule: unclassified non-coding RNA, 260 nt
Filed under: fungal sp.
Lineage: Eukaryota; Fungi
Description: partial internal transcribed spacer region
Source: RNAcentral
CCGCAGACACGGUCGUCAGCGCGUUGACGAAAAAAUAGACCGCGAUGUCGAGGAUCGCCGGCAUGCAGAUCGGCACGGUGACGCGGCCGAAGGUGCGCCAGAACGGCACCUUCAGCGAGGCGGAAACGGACUCGAAUUCCGGAUCGAUCUGCUUCAGCGCGGUCAGCGCAGUGAUGUGGGCGACAGUGUAGAAAUGCGCGACGCAGUUCACGACGAGCACGAGCAGCGUGCCGUAGAGGAUGUUGAGCGGAUUCCAGCUC